Molecule: long non-coding RNA, 206 nt
Filed under: Manihot esculenta (cassava)
Lineage: Eukaryota; Viridiplantae; Streptophyta; Magnoliopsida; Malpighiales; Euphorbiaceae
Description: long non-coding RNA (MESC_LNC007017)
Source: RNAcentral
GAAGCUCUCUUCCGUGGCUUUAUUCGGGAGAUUUUAAUAAUUUAUGCUCGAGAGAUGAGAAAGAAUGAGGAGUAUCUUUGCCAAAUUAUCUUAUGCAGGGGUUUAGACAGGCACUUGAGGAGCAUUUUUGCCAAAUUAUCUUAUGCAAGGGUUUGAUUUUGAAUGAUUGUAAAUCUUCGUUAGACUCUAGAAUUGAUAUUUCUGUU